CGGGGUGCAGCAGGCGCGAAACCUUUGCAAUACACGAAAGUGUGACAGGGUCAUCCCGAGUGCCGACCGCUGAGGUUGGCUUUUACCCAGUCUAGAAAGCUGGGGGAAUAAGGAGAGGGCAAGUCUGGUGUCAGCCGCCGCGGUAAUACCAGCUCUCCGAGUGGUGUGGACGUUUAUUGGGCCUAAAGCAUCCGUAGCUGGCUGAUCAAGUCCCCUGUUAAGCCCACCGAUUUAAUCGUUGGCUUGCGGGGGAUACUGCUCGGCUAGGGGACGAGAGAGGCAGACGGUAUUCCCGGGGUAGGGGUGAAAUCCUAUAAUCCCGAGAAGACCACCAGUGGCGAAGGCUGUCUGCUAGAACGCGCCCGACGGUGAGGGAUGAAAGCUGGGGGAGCGAACCGGAUUAGAUACCCGGGUAGUCCCAGCUGUAAACGAUGCAGGCUAGGUGUUUGGACGGCCACGCGCCGUUCUAGUGCCGCAGGGAAGCUGUUAAGCCUGCCGCCUGGGGAGUACGAUCGCAAGAUUGAAACUUAAAGGAAUUGGCGGGGGAGCACAAG
This 554-nucleotide ribosomal RNA is filed under the name uncultured archaeon. Its description in RNAcentral is "bacterial SSU rRNA". It matches the Rfam family "Archaeal small subunit ribosomal RNA", at positions 326 to 882 of the family's 1478-position model. The record is from RNAcentral.